RNAcentral lists this long non-coding RNA (272 nucleotides) under Rattus norvegicus (Norway rat). RNAcentral's name for it is "long non-coding RNA NONRATT031388". Lineage: Eukaryota; Metazoa; Chordata; Mammalia; Rodentia; Muridae. The record is from RNAcentral.
CGGAAACAAAGAACCCCAUCUUGAUCCCUGACAGCAGCAUUGUUCAGAGCCAGUUCACUCACCCCAGUUUCCACAGCAGAAAGAUGUUUCCGGCGAACAGCUACACACCCACCACCCAACAGUUCUGCAAUGAAUCACUCUACAUUAGCUCACUUUGACAGAUGUGUCUGAGGUAGAUCCGACAGCUGGCCAGUGAAGCCUCUGUGAAGGGAAGCCCAUCUGUGACUUUACUCUCCUAAGCACCUCCAAACCAUUCUCAAACAACGUCGUCU